AGUCCUCAAAAUUAUGUCACUUUCGGUGACAACUCAAAGGGUAAGGUGGUUGGCCUUGGUAAGGUGGCCAUCUCACAUGAUAGCUCCAUACAAAAUGUCAUGCUUGUUGAAUCUCUUGGAUAUAACUUACUUUCAGUAUCUAGACUUGCUGACUUUGGUUUCAAUGUCUUAUUUACUGAAAUUGAUUGCCAAGUGUUUCAUCGAGACAAUCAUAAAAUGGUCUUUACCGGCAUACGUAGAGGUGAUCUAUACAUUGUUGAUUUCACUAAAAAGGCUCAACCUAAAUCUUGCUUCAUUGCUAAAUCCUCAAAAGGUUGGUUAUGGCAUAGACGACUAGGACAUGUUGGUAUGCGAAACCUUAACAAGCUUAUUAAAGGGAAUCAUAUCCUUGGAGUUAAUGAUGUCAUUUUUGAUAAGGAUAGACUUUGCAGUGCUUGUCAAGCAGGUAAACAGGUUGGAGGAAGG
Molecule: ribosomal RNA, 465 nt
Filed under: Triticum aestivum (bread wheat)
Lineage: Eukaryota; Viridiplantae; Streptophyta; Magnoliopsida; Poales; Poaceae
Description: partial small subunit ribosomal RNA
Source: RNAcentral